GAUGAAGAACGCAGCGAAACGCGAUAAGUAAUGUGAAUUGCAGAAUUCAGUGAAUCAUCGAAUCUUUGAACGCACCUUGCGCCUUUUGGUAUUCCGAAAGGCACACCUGUUUGAGCGUCAUGAAUACCUCAAUCUCCAUCUUUUCUUCGGAUUGAUGGGUGACUUGGAUGUUGAGCCCUGCUGGUAUGCUAUAUCAGCUGGCUUUAAACUUAUUAGCCGGCUCUGUACUGGAUCGGUUUGACUCGACGUGAUAAUAUUAUCGUUGAGGAUGCAUGUCUCAUGCAGCCGGAAAGUAUCAAAGCAGCUUCUAGCUUGCCUUUAGUGCACUUUUACAUUUUAGACCUCAGAUCAGGUGGGACUACCCGCUGAACUUAAGCAUAUCAAUAAGCGGAGG
This 394-nucleotide unclassified non-coding RNA is filed under the name soil metagenome. RNAcentral describes it as "partial contains 5.8S ribosomal RNA, internal transcribed spacer 2, and large subunit ribosomal RNA". The stretch from base 1 to 120 matches the Rfam family "5.8S ribosomal RNA", at positions 35 to 154 of the family's 154-position model. The record is from RNAcentral.